Helianthus annuus (common sunflower) is the source of this 166-nucleotide long non-coding RNA. RefSeq lists it as uncharacterized. NCBI's taxonomy places the organism in Eukaryota, Viridiplantae, Streptophyta, Magnoliopsida, Asterales, Asteraceae. The record is from RefSeq and is a predicted model, not a curated record. The transcript has 2 exons.
AUUGGAAUACGACGAUUCUGACUAAGGAUUUGCAUUUUGAUUGCUUGAACCAGUAGCCGUCAUUGAACUCGUUUUCACAUCGAAUUCAGUUACAUGGUGUGCAUCUACUUUUGUGCUUGCAGUUUUAUGGCCGAAUUGAUCAACAUAAGUUUGUUAUUAGGCUUGA